UAGGGCCUCAGCUGGUCAAGGGGCAGCUCCAACUGCGUGAAAGUCGGCCAAAACAUCACGUCUGCCGAGCUUCCUUGGUCCACCAGCACCCUGUGGACCUUUCUUCCUGCUGUGAUCAGCGAAAUCACUAUGGGAUCGUUGUCAUGAGGCACAACAUCCCGAAGAUCUUGCUUGGUGAACGUAAUAUCCACUUCCGGCGAGUGGUCUUCAAAC
Molecule: long non-coding RNA, 213 nt
Filed under: Phaseolus vulgaris (common bean)
Lineage: Eukaryota; Viridiplantae; Streptophyta; Magnoliopsida; Fabales; Fabaceae
Description: long non-coding RNA (PVUL_LNC000736)
Source: RNAcentral